GCCAAAGCUCCUAACAUUUCAAUAUAGUAAACAAGAUAUUUUUUUCGCAUAUGUUUAAUUACCAAAUUCGCAUAAUAAAGAUGCCAUAAGGGAGCUUCAACAUGAGUGCUUGGUUAUUCACAACUGGCCUAAGUAUCUGCUGACACACAUGGCUCAUCUAUUUUGUGUUUGCCAAUGACAAGCUCAUAUGUAUGUAUGAUCGUGUAUAUAUGUAUAUAAAUAUCAGUGCACAUGGGGGUGUGUGUGUUUAUAUAUGAAAAGUUAUCAUUCACUUGUUGAUUUACCAAAAAACUGUACAACAAGGUCCAUCACUAACACAUUUACAGAUGAGGCGUCACAUGAGGUUACCCCAGAAGAUGAUGUAGACAUGAGUGGUAAUGAAAACCAAAGAACACAUGUGGACGAUACGAGUCUAUUGCAACAAAAUGUUACACCUUCUGAAGGAAAGACUCAACAAGUCCAAAAGAAGAAGAGUGGCCCUACCCAAAUGAAGAAUUUGAACGAAGUCAUUGCUCCAAUUGAAGUAAAGUUUAAUGAAAUGGGACAAUCACUAUUUGUCACUUUAUCUUCCUUUCUUGGUCGUCUUGUGAGGGAGAUUGUACCGUAUACUCUUGUUGACUGGCGAUAUCUUUCAGAUGAUAUGAAACUUGUUAUGUGGAAAGAUAUUCAGCAAAGGUUCAAAGUAUAUGAAGAGUGGCAAAAAGACUACAUUUUUAAAGAAAUGGGUGGUCUCUGAAGAGCGUUGAAGUCUCGACUUGUGAAAAAGAUUAGAGAAGCACCAAAUGAAGCUGAAAGAAUGAAACUCAAACCUGAUAAUAUACUUAAACCCCAACAAAGGAAGAAGUUUGUGUAGGGAAAGACGAGUAUAUAAUUUAUGGUUAAAAGCCAAAGAUUUAGAGAAAUUCAAGAAAAACAAAUCACACACACAUGCAGUCGCAAGGGAUUUGCCAGAUUACGUGAAGCAAAAGAAGAGCAGCAAUCCAUCUUCUAUAGGUCAUAAGGAGGUUUGGGCAGCAGCACAUAUAAAAAAGAAUGGUGAACCUAUAUGCAAACUUGUUGAAGAGACACUUG
Molecule: long non-coding RNA, 1071 nt
Organism: Olea europaea var. sylvestris
Lineage: Eukaryota; Viridiplantae; Streptophyta; Magnoliopsida; Lamiales; Oleaceae
Exons: 4
Source: RefSeq, a predicted model, not a curated record